GGAAUUCUGAAGGCAAGAGUUAUCACCUGCUGCAGGUUCGUGCUGGCCGUGGCCGUCCCAUCCUGGAAGGCGUACUGCGCCGCGUUGGUGGCCUGAGACAGAGCCAGGUCCAGCUGAUUCAGGGUGCACUGGCUCUCCAUGCUGUUGGGCAGGAAGGACUGGAAGACGUCUCCUUGGUCGCUGAACGGGAAGGCCGAGCUGGAGCUCUCCAGCGAGAACACCGAGCUCGCCGAUGGGCCGUACAUCUGCAUUCGACACGGACAAGGUGAGUAAGUAACUAUCGACUCGUUACGGCGCGAUGAGGGUGAUGAACAGCAGGGGUGUGUUUCGAGCUCACGUCUUUGUGCAGGAGCGUGGGCAGGUUGCUGAAGUCGAGCGGGUUCACGGUUGCGAGCUUCAUGGAGAGGAACUGGAGCAACAGAAACAGAGGAGGAGUUGAUCAGGA
This 445-nucleotide long non-coding RNA is filed under the name Triticum aestivum (bread wheat). Its description in RNAcentral is "long non-coding RNA (TAES_LNC017856)". The record is from RNAcentral. Lineage: Eukaryota; Viridiplantae; Streptophyta; Magnoliopsida; Poales; Poaceae.